AAAUGGGAUGGAUUUUUUUUUUUUAAGCUUUUGGUUCUCUCACAAAACUUUUGCCUUCCCCCAAGAAACUUUUGUGUUCCCUCGCAAAACCUGUUAUGAGUUCGGUCAAACACUUACUGUUUCUUUUCCUGCUGAUAGUGGCUCAGACAGCUCCAUAGGUUCACAAUGGAGCGGUUCAUAAAGUUUUAUUUUGAACUUGGACACAAUAAAGAAAUGUGGUCUGUGCUUAGUUCGAGGCACGGUUCUGACGGAAAUGAAAGACACCUGAAAAGGAUAAUAUGCAAAAGUGCGUUGUUUCUACGAAAAAAAUUACUCAAGUGAUGCUGUGAAGAUACAAGUGCGAACCACCACACAGAAGUCUCUUGCGAAACCUGUGUUCACAACACAACAAGUAGGCAAUCUUUGCGAGGGAAUGCAAAUGUUUCUCAGGGGAACGCCAAAGUUUUGCAAGAGAAUGCAAAAGCUUUGAGGUUUUUUUUCACCCAUCCCAAAUUUUUUCCACCACCAUGUCCCUUUAGGGACUCCGUACUUUCGUGUAAUAUGAUCUGAAAUCUCUGCUGGAUUUGAGUGUUUCACAGUAACACAGUAGAUGAACAUGAUGUGUUGAAAGUUUAUUUGCUGUUCCUCUCUGUUACAUCAUCAUGACUCACACAUUUAUUCCAUCAUGAUGUCAUGAUGCAAAUCCAGAGUGCUGUGUGUCCACACGGUAUUUAUGUUCAGCUGAACUGAGUGGAGCAGUCGAGUCUCAUCAUCACUCACCAUGAAGAUCCCACUCUCCUUCUUCCUGUUGCUAAUCAGCCUCAUCACAGGUAUUCAGUGUCAAAGUCUGGAGUCUAUUCCCACUGGUGCAGUGGUGAAAAAACCUGGAGAAACUCUGAGUCUUUCCUGUAAAGGAUCUGGGUUUAACUUUGGUGACUAUGGCAUGCACUGGAUCAGACAAGAAGCUGGAAAAGCACUGGAAUGGAUUGGGGUUAUCUGGUAUGAUGCCAGUAAAACGAUAUAUGCCAAACACAUUGAGGGACGUUUGGAAAUUACCAGAGACAACUCCAAAAACCUGGUGUAUCUGCAGCUAACUGGUUUGAGUGCACAGGACUCCGCUGUGUAUUACUGUGCACGAGACUCACUCUGACACAACAGACUCCAGAGCUGUACAAAAACUUACACAAGCACGUCCUCAUGAGCUGUAAAUAUUCCCUCAGCAAGGAACUGAACCCCAGUGACCUUUAUUUUAAACAUCAUUAUAUUCGGCACUCAGAUUUUACUUUUUCAUUCCAAACACGUGUGCAAACUCCUCAAGCUUUUAUUAAUAAAAAUCCCAUGGAAUUAAUUAUGAUAUGAACGCAUUACAGAAUUUAAUCAUGGAUUAUGAUCAUGUGGAAGUGAAAAUGCAAAGUGUAAAUACAUGUUAGUAAGUGUUUUGUGAAGACAAAUACUGUAUUUUAGACAAAUAAAAGCACAGGGAGACUCGAGGCAAAUAAACUCUAGGAAAAAGAUUGAUGUUAUUUCCAGGGAUUAAAUUAAAUGUACAUGUUUUGU
Non-coding RNA from Ictalurus punctatus (channel catfish), 1536 nucleotides. Lineage: Eukaryota; Metazoa; Chordata; Actinopteri; Siluriformes; Ictaluridae. The record is from the annotation of a RefSeq genome assembly.